RNAcentral lists this transfer RNA (65 nucleotides) under Seladonia aeraria. Its description in RNAcentral is "tRNA-Met". Lineage: Eukaryota; Metazoa; Arthropoda; Insecta; Hymenoptera; Halictidae. The record is from RNAcentral.
AUAUAAAUAAGCUAAAUUUAAGCUUUUAGGUUCAUACCCUAAAUAUAGAUAAUAUCUUUUGUAUA